RNAcentral lists this microRNA precursor (74 nucleotides) under Myotis davidii. RNAcentral describes it as "mir-9193 microRNA precursor family". Lineage: Eukaryota; Metazoa; Chordata; Mammalia; Chiroptera; Vespertilionidae. The record is from Rfam by way of RNAcentral.
GGAGGGACCAGGGGAUCCUUCAGCCCAGAUUGUGAGAGGAUGCAAGCCAGGCCGAAGGACCCCACUGGUGUACA